This 258-nucleotide ribosomal RNA is filed under the name uncultured bacterium. RNAcentral describes it as "partial 16S ribosomal RNA". It matches the Rfam family "Bacterial small subunit ribosomal RNA", at positions 95 to 354 of the family's 1533-position model. The record is from RNAcentral.
CCGGCGCACGGGUGCGUAACGCGUAUGCAACCUACCAUCAACAGGGGGAUAACACUGAGAAAUUGGUACUAAUACCCCAUAAUAUCUCACGCGGCAUCGCAUGGGGUUGAAAACUCCGGUGGUUGAUGAUGGGCAUGCGUUGUAUUAGCUGGUUGGUGAGGUAACGGCUCACCAAGGCGACGAUACAUAGGGGGACUGAGAGGUUAACCCCCCACAUUGGUGCUGAGACACGGACCAAACUCCUACGGGAGGCAGCAG